GACGAACGCUGGCGGCGUGCUUAACACAUGCAAGUCGAACGGAAAGGCCCUGCUUUUGUGGGGUGCUCGAGUGGCGAACGGGUGAGUAACACGUGAGUAACCUGCCCUUGACUUUGGGAUAACUUCAGGAAACUGGGGCUAAUACCGGAUAGGAGCUCCUGCUGCAUGGUGGGGGUUGGAAAGUUUCGGCGGUUGGGGAUGGACUCGCGGCUUGUCAGCUUGUUGGUGGGGUAGUGGCUUACCAAGGCUUUGACGGGUAGCCGGCCUGAGGGGGUGACCGGCCAAAUUGGGGAUUGGAUACGGCCCAAGCCCCCACGGGAGGCUGGAGGGGGGAAUAUUGCACAAUGGGCGGAAGCCUGAUGCAGCAACGCCGCGUGCGGGAUGACGGCCUUCGGGUUGUAAACCGCUUUCGCCUGUGACGAAGCGUGAGUGACGGUAAUGGGUAAAGAAGCACCGGCUAACUACGU
Molecule: ribosomal RNA, 467 nt
Filed under: uncultured bacterium
Lineage: Bacteria
Description: partial 16S ribosomal RNA
Rfam family: Bacterial small subunit ribosomal RNA
Source: RNAcentral